This 398-nucleotide ribosomal RNA is filed under the name uncultured bacterium. RNAcentral's name for it is "bacterial SSU rRNA". It matches the Rfam family "Bacterial small subunit ribosomal RNA", at positions 130 to 518 of the family's 1533-position model. The record is from RNAcentral.
CCUUAAGGUGGGGAAAACCUCGGGAAACUGAGGCUAAUACCGAAUGUGGCGCGGAGGCAUCCUUCCAGCGCUAAAGGGGGCCGCAAGGCUCCCCCUUUUCGAGGAGCUCGCGCACCAGUCAGCUUGUUGGCGGGUAACGCCACCAAGGCUUACGGUUAGCUGGUCUGAGAGGAUGGCCAGCCGCACUGGGACUGAGAUACUGCCCAGACUCCUACGGGAGGCUGCAGUCGAGGAUCAUUCGCAAUGGGGGAAACCCUGACGAUGCGACGCUGCGUGGAGGACGACGGCCUUCGGGUUGUAAACUCCUGUCAUCGGGGAAAAGGCGAGGGGGCCCAAUACGUCCCUUAGUUGAUGGUACCCGAAGAGGAAGCGACGGCUAACUCUGUGCCAGCAGCCGC